Molecule: ribosomal RNA, 253 nt
Filed under: uncultured bacterium
Lineage: Bacteria
Description: partial 16S ribosomal RNA
Rfam family: Bacterial small subunit ribosomal RNA
Source: RNAcentral
GACGUAGGAUGCAAGCGUUGUCCGGAAUCAUUGGGCGUAAAGCGCGUGUAGGCGGCCCGAUAAGUCCGCUGUGAAAGUCCAGGGCUCAACCCUGGAAUGCCGGUGGAUACUGUCGAGCUCGAGUCCGGAAGAGGCGAGUGGAAUUCCUGGUGUAGCGGUGAAAUGCGCAGAUAUCAGGAGGAACACCAAUGGCGAAGGCAGCUCGCUGGGACGGUACUGACGCUGAGACGCGAAAGCGUGGGGAGCAAACAGG